Molecule: ribosomal RNA, 420 nt
Filed under: bacterium
Lineage: Bacteria
Description: partial 16S ribosomal RNA
Rfam family: Bacterial small subunit ribosomal RNA
Source: RNAcentral
UGGGGGAUAUUGCACAAUGGGCGAAAGCCUGAUGCAGCGACGCCGCGUGGGGGAUGAAGGCUUUCGGGUUGUAAACCUCUUUCGCUAUCGAACAAGGCCCGCUUAGGGUGGGUUGAGGGUAGGUGGAGAAGAAGCGCCGGCUAACUACGUGCCAGCAGCCGCGGUAAUACGUAGGGCGCGUGCUUUGUCCGGAAUUAUUGGGCGUAAAGGGCUUGUAGGCGGCUUGUUGCGCCUGCUGUGAAAACGCGGGGCUUAACUUCGCGCGUGCAGUGGGUACGGGCAGGCUUGAGUGUGGUAGGGGUGACUGGAAUUCCAGGUGUAGCGGUGGAAUGCGCAGAUAUCUGGAGGAACACCGAUGGCGAAGGCAGGUCACUGGGCCAUUACUGACGCUGAGGAGCGAAAGCAUGGGUAGCGAACAGG